RNAcentral lists this ribosomal RNA (255 nucleotides) under Escherichia coli. Its description in RNAcentral is "partial 23S ribosomal RNA". It matches the Rfam family "Bacterial large subunit ribosomal RNA", at positions 1262 to 1521 of the family's 2925-position model. The record is from RNAcentral. Lineage: Bacteria; Pseudomonadati; Pseudomonadota; Gammaproteobacteria; Enterobacterales; Enterobacteriaceae.
UGUGAGGGGUGCUGGAGGUAUCAGAAGUGCGAAUGCUGACAUAAGUAACGAUAAAGCGGGUGAAAAGCCCGCUCGCCGGAAGACCAAGGGUUCCUGUCCAACGUUAAUCGGGGCAGGGUGAGUCGACUCCUAAGGCGAGGCCGAAAGGCGUAGUCGAUGGGAAACAGGUUAAUAUUCCUGUACUUGGUGUUACUGCGAAGGGGGGACGGAGAAGGCUAUGUUGGCCGGGCGACGGUUGUCCCGGUUUAAGCGUGU